UCGCCCUUGAGUUUGAUCAUGGCUCAGAUUGAACGCUGGCGGCAUGCCUUACACCUGCAAGUCGAACGGCAGCAUAGGAGCUUGCUCCUGAUGGCCAGUGGCGAACGGGUGAGUAAUAUAUCGGAACGUACCCUAGAGUGGGGGAUAACUAGUCGAAAGAUUAGCUAAUACCGCAUACGAUCUACGGAUGAAAGUGGGGGAUCGCAAGACCUCAUGCUCAUGGAGCGGCCGAUAUCUGAUUAGCUAGUUGGUGGGGUAAAAGCUCACCAAGGCGACGAUCAGUAGCUGGUCUGAGAGGACGACCAGCCACACUGGAACUGAUACACGGUCCAGACUCCUACGGGAGGCAGCAGUGGGGAAUUUUGGACAAUGGGGGCAACCCUGAUCCAGCAAUGUUUUUUUAGUGAAGAAGGCCUUCGGGUUGUAAAGCUCUUUUGUCAGGGAAGAAACGGUGAGGGCUAAUAUCCCUUGCUAAUGACGGUACCUGAAGAAUAAGCACCGGCUAACUACGUGCCAGCAGCCGCGGUAA
This 529-nucleotide ribosomal RNA is filed under the name uncultured beta proteobacterium. RNAcentral's name for it is "bacterial SSU rRNA". It matches the Rfam family "Bacterial small subunit ribosomal RNA", at positions 1 to 523 of the family's 1533-position model. Lineage: Bacteria; Pseudomonadati; Pseudomonadota; Betaproteobacteria. The record is from RNAcentral.